UUAUACUGCAAGGCGAGGGGGCAGCAAUGUCACCGUCGUACGGGUGCGUAACGCGUAUGCAACCUACCUUCCACUGGGGGAUAGCCCGGGGAAACCCGGAUUAAUACCGCAUAAUACAUACGGACCACCUGGUUUGUUUUGUUAAAGAUUUAUUGGUGGAAGAUGGGCAUGCGUUCGAUUAGCUAGUUGGUAUGGGUAACGGCCUACCAAGGCAACGAUCGAUAGGGGAGCUGAGAGGUUGAUCCCCCACACGGGCACUGAGAUACGGGCCCGACUCCUACGGGAGGCAGCAGUAGGGAAUAUUGGGCAAUGGAUGCAAGUCUGACCCAGCCAUGCCGCGUGCCGGAUGAAGGCCCUCAGGGUUGUAAACGGCUUUUAUCCGGGAAGAAGAGCAGGGAUGCGUCCCUGUGUGACGGUACCGGAUGAAUAAGCACCGGCUAACUCCGUGCCAGCAGCCGCGGUAAUACGGAGGGUGCGAGCGUUGUCCGGAUUUAUUGGGUUUAAAGGGUGCGUAGGUGGCUUUUUAAGUCAGUGGUGAAAUACAGCCGCUCAACGGUUGAGGUGCCAUUGAUACUGAAGAGCUUGAAACAAGUGGAGGCUGCCGGAAUGGAUGGUGUAGCGGUGAAAUGCAUAGAUAUCAUCCAGAACACCGAUUGCGAAGGCAGGUGGCUACGUUUGAUUUGACACUGAGGCACGAAAGCAUGGGGAGCAAACAGGAUUAGAUACCCUGGUAGUCCAUGCCGUAAACGAUGAGGACUCGCUGUUGGGCUGUCAAGGUUCAGCGGCUUAGGGAAACCGUUAAGUCCUCCACCUGGGGAGUACGCCGGCAACGGUA
Molecule: ribosomal RNA, 835 nt
Filed under: Dyadobacter sp. TAP1-7_Pa
Lineage: Bacteria; Pseudomonadati; Bacteroidota; Cytophagia; Cytophagales; Spirosomataceae
Description: bacterial SSU rRNA
Rfam family: Bacterial small subunit ribosomal RNA
Source: RNAcentral